Cannabis sativa is the source of this 980-nucleotide long non-coding RNA. RefSeq lists it as uncharacterized. The record is from RefSeq and is a predicted model, not a curated record. The transcript has 2 exons. Lineage: Eukaryota; Viridiplantae; Streptophyta; Magnoliopsida; Rosales; Cannabaceae.
UUUAAUUAAAAAAAUUAAAAUAAAAUAAAAAUUACAAAAAUAUUUUAAAAUUAUAAUUUAUUUUAUUUUAUUUGUUGUUUUUCUUUUUUUCAUUUUUCUUCUUAUUCUUCGUCGUCUUCUUCCUCUAACCCGACCCCCUCCUCACCUCGUCUUUUUCUUCCAGCCACACUCCGAGAGAAUGGACCACUGUCCAUAGCUCCAGCCCGCCCGCCGUCGAGAUCCGAAGCUGCUUCCCAGUCGUCCACUGCCCACUGCCGUCGACUGGGCAUCUUCUUCACACAAUUCCCAAUCCCAGCCAUGACCCUCACCCCAUGCCCAUCUCAGCCACGACCCUCACCACCAAAAUUCACCAAGAAAAUUCAUUUCCAAAAAUUAGGGUUUCUAAUUUUUUUUAUUGUAAAGUAAAAAAAUAUCUCAGAUGGGGAAAUUAAUGUCUAAUCUCGCCCAACAUUGCACCAAAGCCCUCAAUCUCAUUGUGCUUCAAAGAUCGACCUGUUCAUCGAAGAGAUUGUGAUCACUGAUGCUCAUGUCACUUUCUACAAGUUCAAUAUCAAGAGCAAUCAAUGGAUCCUUAGAAUCUUACGAUUUGAUUGUGAAGGAGCUCCAUUUUCAAGUUUAAUGGAGAACUCUAGUGGUGGUGCUCUAAUUAGAUCCAACUGUCUCUCUUAUUUAUUCUCAUCUGUGUAUAUAUAUAUAUAUAUUUGAUUUUUCUUUAUUAUUUUAUCAAAACAAUGGUGGUGGUCUGAGUAAAAAAAAUAGAUUUAAGUUUUUGUUGGAGAUUUGGUUCGUGAGUGUAGCAAACAGGGUUUUGUUUUGUUUUCUGAUUGUCUUUGAUGUCGACGGUGGUAGUUGGUGACCGUGGCUGGGAAUGGGGGUGGUGGCUGGGGAUCGGCAUGGGUAUGAAUUGUGUGAAGAAGACGAAGAGAAAAAAGAAAAUAAAAGAGAAAAGGAAAAAAAAAAGUUAUUUUAUGAUUUUAAAA